AAGUCCGUCCUGACGAUCAGUAACGAAUGGAAAAAAAAAAAAAAAAAAAUUAAUUAAUUUUAAAAUCAAUUCUUUAUAAUAAACAAUCAAAUGAAAAAGAAAAAAA
RNAcentral lists this non-coding RNA (106 nucleotides) under Paramoeba aestuarina. The record is from RNAcentral. Lineage: Eukaryota; Discosea; Flabellinia; Dactylopodida; Paramoebidae.